This is a long non-coding RNA of Rhineura floridana, 621 nucleotides long. RefSeq lists it as uncharacterized. The transcript is spliced from 3 exons. Lineage: Eukaryota; Metazoa; Chordata; Lepidosauria; Squamata; Rhineuridae. The record is from RefSeq and is a predicted model, not a curated record.
AUUAGUGGGGCAUGUGUGGGGCUAUUGCACACAUCCUGCUCCAAUUUCACUGAGUGGGGAGGUGGAACCUGUGUAAAUGUAGUCGAUCAAAAGGAGAAGGAAUACUGAGCAAUGAAACAGCACAAUGAAUCCAAAGGACCCCAGACAAGAGCAGCAAGCGUGUAUAGUUGUGUGAAGCAACUUCUCCAGAUCUGAAAGAAUGUAUGCCUACAAUCCCCUUGGAUCUGAAAGCAGUUAUCCAGGACAAACACCAGAAGAACAUGGAACAAGAAUUUCAGAAGGACUUACAUUUUGGCUGUGAUGAUUCUUUGCAACUAAGUGAGAUUGGCCUUUUUUCAUGCCGUAAGAUCCUGCCCCAUUGUCUGAAUUCCAGGAGUUUCCUGUGGAUAUUGUUCCUGAAGGACUUACAGCAGCAUCACAGGAAGAAGUUCACUCUCCUCAUCAAGGAAGUGUUGGAAAAUAUUAGGAAAGAUUGAAAAUAAAACCAUUAUAAUGUAUUAUAUGCAUUGAUGGUGCAGCUGCAUUUGGAAUACUAUCUAUAGUAAGAAAAAGAAUAUCAUAAUAUUGGGAAGAAAGCAGAAAAGUACAAGCAAAAUCAUUAAAGGACUGGAACACCCUCUC